CCUACGGGUGGCUGCAGUGGGGAAUAUUGGACAAUGGGGGCAACCCUGAUCCAGCCAUGCCGCGUGUGUGAAGAAGGCCCUCGGGUUGUAAAGCACUUUCAGUGAGGAAGAACGCCUGGUGGUUAAUACCCAUCAGGAAAGACAUCACUCACAGAAGACGCACCGGCUAACUCCGUGCCAGCAGCCGCGGUAAUACGGAGGGUGCGAGCGUUAAUCGGAAUUACUGGGCGUAAAGCGCGCGUAGGUGGCUUGAUAAGCCGGUUGUGAAAGCCCCGGGCUCAACCUGGGAACGGCAUCCGGAACUGUCAAGCUAGAGUGCAGGAGAGGAAGGUAGAAUUCCCGGUGUAGCGGUGAAAUGCGUAGAGAUCGGGAGGAAUACCAGUGGCGAAGGCGGCCUUCUGGACUGACACUGACACUGAGGUGCGAAAGCGUGGGUAGCAAACAGGAUUAGAUACCCUAGUAGUC
This 465-nucleotide ribosomal RNA is filed under the name Vreelandella stevensii. RNAcentral describes it as "partial 16S ribosomal RNA". It matches the Rfam family "Bacterial small subunit ribosomal RNA", at positions 338 to 795 of the family's 1533-position model. Lineage: Bacteria; Pseudomonadati; Pseudomonadota; Gammaproteobacteria; Oceanospirillales; Halomonadaceae. The record is from RNAcentral.